This 695-nucleotide long non-coding RNA is filed under the name Fukomys damarensis (Damara mole-rat). RNAcentral's name for it is "lncRNA (ENSFDAG00000030568.1)". The record is from RNAcentral. Lineage: Eukaryota; Metazoa; Chordata; Mammalia; Rodentia; Bathyergidae.
CUUUUUCUCCUGUCACCAUGUUAGGCAUUUUUCAGAGUCGACACUCGGAACUUGUUUUUCUUUUGGUACCAGGAAUUGAACUCGGGGCCUAACACCUUCCAGGCAGGUGCUGCACCACUGAGCUACAUCUCCAGCCCCAGCAACUUGUCUACCGCUGCUCCUGGAGAAAGAUACAGUAUUCUCUUACACCUACGAUUCCAAAACUUCCUCUGAGCAGCUCAGAUAAGUGGUCAUAAGUGUUUGCUUUUCCUACUCAACUAAUUCUGGGAUUAAACAGAAGACUUCAGUCUCCAGUGCCUCCACCUUUCUUGAUAGAUAUGUUCUUUGGGAGCCAAUAUGCAUUUUUCAAAAAAGCCCUUACACUGGAAUGCUUCAAGGAUAGAAAGAAUACCUGCACCUUACUCAAGACCCCUGCAAAGAUAAAUACUGAAUGGAUGUAUGUUUUCUUUUCUUUUCUUUUCUUUUUCCAGCUUUAAUUGAGUUUAUUGGUACAUUUUAGGGAUACAGUACAGUUACAUUCAUUGUUGGGAUCUUGUACCUCUACAUGACAGGUCUUGGUUCUCAUUUUUUCCCCUUGUCCCUGCCCUCCCUUCACCCCCUCCUCCCCUCCCCAUCUACAAACACUUUAUUUCCUUCUUUUCAUUAUCACACAUUUUUUCUUUUCCCUUAUUACCCUUCCCUUACCCAUCCCACCU